RNAcentral lists this ribosomal RNA (2448 nucleotides) under Nilaparvata lugens (brown planthopper). RNAcentral's name for it is "bacterial LSU rRNA". It matches the Rfam family "Bacterial large subunit ribosomal RNA". Lineage: Eukaryota; Metazoa; Arthropoda; Insecta; Hemiptera; Delphacidae. The record is from RNAcentral.
UUGUAAUAAUAUAAGUAUAUAAAGAAACUAUUAUAAAAUUAAUGCUAUGUGUCAAAGAGAAAAAUUUAUAGUAUAUAUAUAAGCUCUUAGGAAAAUCUGAUCCAAAACGAAGUGAAAUGAAAUAUCUUAGUAACUUCAGGAAAAAAAAUCAAAAGAGAUUCUGUGAUUAGCGUGAGUGAAAAUAGAAGAGCCUAAAAAGUAGAAUGGUCCAAAAAACUGUUUAAAUAGAAAGGGGAACCUUCCUCAAAGGCUAAAUAUGACACGUAAGCGAUAGUGAAAAGUACCGUGAGGGAACAAAAUAAAAAUAGUAGUUUUAUAAGCAGUUCGAUAAAAAGAACGUACCUUUUGCAUAAUGGGUCAUCAAGUUAACAUUAGACGCGAGCAUUGUGCGUAGUUAAACCGAACGUAAAAAUAACGUAAAAGUGUCUAAUGUUAGACCCGAAUAGCGGUGAUUUUACCACAGUCAGGAUUAUAAAGGUCCGAACGGGUGAUUGUUGCAAAAAUCUCCGAAGAACUGUGGUAGGUGUGGUGAAAGACAACACUGACCGCUGUAGCUGGUUUUCUGCGAAACCUAUACUAGUAGGCAAUUUAAGAAAAAUCUUAGCAGGUACAGAAUUUAAUCUCGGACAAGACGUGUAAACGUUUUAUUUUGUACAAAUAGGGGGAUCUUAGCGAUUUUAUCUGUGAGUAUGUAUGCUCGGAACGGCAAAGAUGUAUCUUGAAUGAUCAGACAUAGAAUGAUAAGGUUGUAUGUCAAAAGGGAAACAGCCCAGAACAAUAAUUAAGGUUCCUAAAUUAUUAGUUAAGUGAAAUAAAGAGAGUUUUUAUUGAAGUCGACAAGGAGAUAGGCUUAGAAUCAGCCAUAAUUUAAUGAGUUCGUAACAGAGCGCUUGUUAAUCGAUAAUAGGCAUCUAAGAUUUAACGGAUCUAAACAAUAUACCGAAAUUUUGUCCAUAAUAUAUUGUAUUAAUAAUAUUUAAUAUAGUAUAAUGGGGUAGCAGAACGUUGAGUCUAAAAAUAAGGUUUUAUUUAUUAAAUAAAAUUUUGAAAUAACUCAAGUGAGAAUGGUGACAUGAGUAACUAAAAGAAAAGUUUUUGUUUUCCGCCUUAAGCUUAUGGUUAAAAUUAAGUAACGGCCUCUAAGUUUAUAUUAUCUAAAGAUUUAAAUGAUGAGAAAAUCUUUUUACUAAAAAACAACAUUUAAGCGUAAAAUGUGCAGGAAAAAAUAGUAAAGUAAAUAACCGUACCUAGAAUCUGAAACAAGUAAGCAAGUAGAGAAUACGAAGGCGUAAAUGAGCUAACAAUCAUAAAGGAACUCGGCAAAAUGACUACUGUAACUUCGGGAGAAAGAGGGCUACAAAAAUAAAUACCGGAAGUUGAGCUACUAUGGGUUUAUACAAUAGGAAGAGGCAUAGAAUAGUGCUGUACGACUGUUUAAUUAAAACACAGCACUUUGCUUAAGAUAAAAAAAAAUCUACGUAUAAAGUGUGAGAUCUGCCCAGUGCCGGCAGGUUAACUGAAAUAAUUUAGUAGUACUAAUACUAGAUAUUGAAGGACACCCCGGUUAAAGGCGGCCUUAACGUGAGGGUCCUAAGGUAGCAAAAUGCCUUGGCCGUUAAAUGCGGUCUUGCAUGAAUGGUGCAACGAUACAGCAGCUGUCUCUAUGAUUGGCUCAGUGAAAUUGGAAUAGCAGUGCAGAUACUGCUUACCUCUAGAUAGACGAGAAGACCCUAUGCAGCUUUACUGUUACUAUUUAUGGAGUAUGAUCGAAAAUUCACAGUUUAUAAUAAGGUAAUUGACAAUUUGCAAAUGAGAAUCCUUUAUUUAUCUUUCAUAUGAAUGAAUAAGAUUAAAUCAACCUAAUUCAACUUACUAUUAAAAGUAUGCGACCUUUGGUCAAGGGACUAUGACUAGUAGACAGUUUAUGUGGGGCACAGACCCUGUAAAGAGUAAACAGGAGUAUCUAAAAAAAAAUAAUCAAAAAGAUUAUUUAGUUUGCAAUUAAAGGUAGUUUGACUAUUUAUAAUCAUAUUGUACUUAUGGCUUAGGCAUAUAAAUUAAGGUAGGAUUUUAACUAAGAGGGAAUUAGAGAUAAUAGAAAAUAUCGUAAACAAGGAUAUUUUCAAGCUAUUAAAAAAAAUAGUUAUGUAUUGAAUAUCUAAAAAGCUUAACGGCUAAAUCUUGCCUGACUGUUUGAUUAUCUACACAUCUUACAGUUGCGUAAGCAGGGCAUAGGAUCACUAGAUGCAAUAAGGAAAGAUCUAGGAUUCUUGGAAAAGUUACGCUAGGGAUGGGUUUGUCCUUUAAUAUUUUAUUAAAUAAUUAAAAAUAAAUUGGGUAAAUUUCAAGAAUAACUGAAAACAGUAAACUUGAAACGAAGUUUAUUUUAGCAUAAUAAAAUAAAAACGUUCAACGACUAUAAGGUGAGUAAUUAUGUAACUACAGUUU